RNAcentral lists this long non-coding RNA (2752 nucleotides) under Lathyrus oleraceus (garden pea). Its description in RNAcentral is "Pisum sativum (pea) long non-coding RNA (PSAT_LNC010959)". Lineage: Eukaryota; Viridiplantae; Streptophyta; Magnoliopsida; Fabales; Fabaceae. The record is from RNAcentral.
ACUAUCAUCCUUUUGGUGAUAGCCUUGAUACUAUACUCUCGGUAAUAGGAAACUUUAUCAGAAUAACCAUCAUCCUUUUAGUGACGGACAUCAUCCUUUUGGUGAUGAAAACCUUUAGAUUUGGAUUGUGUUUAACUUUCAUCCUUUUGGUGAUAGCAAGAUUUGUUGUUGAUCUUACCAUCAUCCUUUUGGUGAUGGUGAUCUUUGUUGUAUCCACUGUAACCAUCAUCCUUUUGGUGAUAACUACUGUUGAAGCUCGGUUUAUCCAUCAUCCUUUUGGUGAUGACAGUCCUGACAAUCAUGGUGAAUUCUAUCAUCCUUUUGGUGAUGACCAUUAACUUGGAUUGUCAUCCUUUUGGUGUCAGAAAACAUGUACAGUUUUGUCUUUACAUUAAAAAAAAAAAAAAAAAACUGUGCAAGAUUUGAAUGUUGACUCGAGGGUUGGCACUGAUCUGACAUUCUACCCCUACUACCUUGGUGCUGUUAGAAUCCAUUGCAUUUUCUUUCUGCAUCCAUUCCAUUGCAUUUCAAAUGACAAAAUUCGGAUCCUUUCGUAUUUAAUUACCUUCCACCACGAAUGUAUGAUGACCGUUGUCAUUCCUACCUUCUAGUUCAAGAUAAUUAAAUAGGGGCAGCCGUCGUACCCCAAUUUUGUCCGGGCAUAUUUAAAUUUUUUCAUACAAUCGAUCUCAUUUUAUUUUUUUUCAUCACAUACAUACCAUUACAUACAUUUUCAUCAUGAAUAAAUGCCUAAAAUGUCAGUCGAAAUGAAUUUAUUGGAGAAUACAGACAAAAUCAGUUGAAUCGUUAAAAUUUGAGGAAAACAGUGUAUUUUUCAAAUAAUAUGUUUUGUGCUGAUAAACAUCAUGAAUAAAUGCCUAAAAUGUCAGUCGAAAUGAAUUUAUUGGAGAAUACAGACAAAAUCAGUUGAAUCGUUAAAAUUUGAGGAAAACAGUGUAUUUUUCAAAUAAUAUGUUUUGUGCUGAUAAUUUUGGUGUGAUUGAUUUAAUUUUCCGAAUAAAUUUGUACUCGAUUUUUGUUUUAAUGGGUCAAUAUUUUUGAAGAAAUUAGAAUGAUAUUUAAUUAAAUAUUAGUUAGAUUUUUUAAAAUAUUAGUUAGUUUUUUUAGAUAUUAAUUAGAAUCAAAUAUUAAUUAGAUUUUUCUUUGUUGAUUUUAUUUUUCUUAAAUAAAUAAUAAGUAUAAAAUAAAUAAAUAGUAAAUUAUAGCAUUGGAUUCUUGUGAGGAAAUGCCAGCUUGCAUAUUUUCUUCACCCUUCACACGUGUCCCUCCGCUCACAAUCUCUCAAGACUCUUCUCUCCACUAUUUCUCCCACUCCCUCAUUUUCGUCCCUCACAGACACUCACACUCCACUCCCCAACGUCUCUCUCCACUGCUAACAACCUCACGCUCUCUCUCUCUAAAAGACCCUCACCUUCCACUCAUUUUUACGGACAACCCACAAACCCUUCUUUCACUCUCUCUCACGCAAAAGAGAAAACAGAAAGAGAAGGCGGAAGAGAAGAAGAAAAACCCUUCUUGUUCUCCAACCCCGCCGCAAACCUCCGAACCCUUUCUCCUCUCACUGACCAAAAACCCAUCACAACCUCCGUCUCCACUACCUUCAAAACACAAGCUCAGCCGCCGUCAACCUCCACUGCCGCCGCGGAUUCACCACCGCGAAACCAUCGACCACCCAAAACCCACCGUAAACCUUCAAAAUCCCAAUCGUCAAACCCUUCUUCAUCACAACACAUUCACCGCCGCCACUACCUUAAACCUCCAAAUCCACCAAACCCUAAACCAUCGCUCACCCCCAAUCGCCGCUCACUUUGAAUCUCCGCCGUUUACCACCAACACCACAACCAACAAAUACCCUCCUUCAACACAAACCCUCACACCAUCAUCGAAACCCUCACUCAACAACCGUUUCAACCAUGGCACCACCCAGCUCGGAACGGCAAAACGCGUCCCCAAGGUAGACGUUCCGCCGGAACAGGUGCAGUCAAAAAGCGACGGCUUGGAUCUAUACCAACAAUAUCUUGAAUAGGAUAGUGGAUCUGUCGAAGAUCUUACGGCGCUCACAAGAUACCUUUCUGUUCUAAUGGAAAUCCCGCGACAACCAUGAACUCAGAGCAGCAAACAGAACAUGACAAUUUGAUCAUUUUGGUAGUAUUUCGGUUAAAGCGUCGGAUUUAAGUUUAUGUUGUUUCUAAUGAGUUUACAUUCAGUUUUCAGAUAAGCGAUAUACUUUAAAUUUGCUGCUUUUACCUUCUGUAUGACUACAGUCUUCACGUUUGAAAAUUAAUUAUGGUGACUCAUGGAUGUUUCGAUAGGGUUUCCAGCUUGGUUUGUUUGUGUUGUUUAAAUUGAGGAUACGAAUGAGUUAGUUUAUGGACUGAGAACCUGUAGAUAAUGAACGACUGUGAUCUUGUUUUGAUUAUAGCAUUUGUUUCUUUCCUAUAAGUGUUUGUAUUAAAAUGUGAUUAGAUUACCGCUUGAAGCUUGUUUAGACAUUACAAGUGUGUUAUAUUGACUGUUAGAUGUAUUAGUUUUGUGGGAAGAUUUUUUGUGAAAUUAAAGUUUAUUUUCCCAUCAGUGUUAUCAAUAGAACAAAUGGAUAUUGGUUGAAAUGCUGAACAGUUCGUUUCUUUAUUCUGUACUAGCUGAAUUUGGUUUUGCAUUAGCUGCACCUUUUGAGGUCUCCUUGGACAUGAUUUAUUUCUAUUCUAUUCUAAUAAGAAGUCAAGUAGAU